UGCUCCUGCUGCUGCUGGGGGGCCCCCGCCCCCUCCGCCGCCGCCUGGGUGAGGCAGGUCCGGGCUCUGCAGACUGCUGAAGCCGCCGCCGGCCCCGAGCCCCCCGCCUGGCAGGAGGUUACUGGGGCUGUUGAGCAAGGGGUGGUUGGGGGACUCCAUCGACGGGGGCAGCUUUGAGCCCGGCAGGAGAUUCACAGACGGCGUCGAGGUGGCCAAGCCCACAUUGGGGGACUCGGCGGCGGUCCCCUCGCCGGCUGCCGCUGCGGUCGCUGCUGUCGCCGCCGGGAUCUUCCGAAGACCGUCCACCCCCCCGUGGUGGUGGUGCUGGGCUUGGGGCGGCGAGGGCUGAAGCGGGGGCUGGUAGUGCUGGGGGAGGGGAUGGUGGUCUCCCGGUGGCUGCUUGGGGUGGUGGAAGUCCGGUGGGUGGCGGUGGUGGCGAUGGUGCGGGUGGCGCGGGUGGCUGAACUGCUGCUGUUGCUGUUGCUGUUGCUGUUUCUGGACCUGCUCCUGUUGGAGCUGCUGCUCUUGCUGCUGCUGUGAGAUGUACUGGUCGGGGGUGUUGAGCGGCGGCGGCUGCUGCUGCUUCAAGUCCUGAGGGUGGGGAGGGUGGGGGGGGUUGAACUCUUUCCUCUCCUGGCUGCUCAGCUGCUGCUGCUGCUUGCUGAAGUCCUGGGGGGAGGAGGUAGUGGAGGAGGAGGAGGACGAGGAGGAGGAGGAGGGGUGGUGCAGACUCUGUUUGAAGUCCUGGGAGGGGAGGAGGUGGGUCGCACCCGCUUUCGUGCUGCCGAUGGGAUGGUGGCUGGGGAGUUUUUCGGGGAGCCCUGACCCUGAGAGUUGCUGCUGCUGCUGCUGCUGCUGUGUUAGCCCCAGCAGCAGCUCAUCUUGCAUGAUGAGUGGGUGCUCCUACAAAUCGGCUUGCGGUGGCCAUGCUGGACUUGGACCCUGCUACCAUCAGAGCAUUGGAAAGGGGAAAACUGAGAAGUCUCCCGGCCUACCGUCCAACUCCUUCUUUUUGCUGAUGUUCAACCUGCUGACCAGAUUCUUGGCCUGGUCCCUGCCUGGGUGAUGCCUGGUGUCUUUGUGGUCCAAGGGCUAGUCACUCCUGACUUUUGGUGGUAGACUAUUGGUACAGCAUGAGGCAAACAUUUUCAGACAUGGCUAGUGGGAUGAUUUGCUUUCCUUGACUUUACUUAUUUGUUUUAAAUAUAACAACUGUGUGUGUGUGUGUGUGUGUGUGUGUGUGUGUGUGUGUGUGUAUGUGGUGCAUUGGGAAGAGAAGCUAUGUAAAAAUAAAAAAAAUAAUUUUUUAAAAGAAAAUAAA
Molecule: long non-coding RNA, 1321 nt
Filed under: Vombatus ursinus (common wombat)
Lineage: Eukaryota; Metazoa; Chordata; Mammalia; Diprotodontia; Vombatidae
Description: lncRNA (ENSVURG00010000807.1)
Source: RNAcentral